RNAcentral lists this ribosomal RNA (450 nucleotides) under uncultured bacterium. RNAcentral describes it as "partial 16S ribosomal RNA". It matches the Rfam family "Bacterial small subunit ribosomal RNA", at positions 354 to 796 of the family's 1533-position model. The record is from RNAcentral.
GUGGGGAAUAUUGGACAAUGGGCGAAAGCCUGAUCCAGCCAUGCCGCGUGUGUGAAGAAGGUCUUCGGAUUGUAAAGCACUUUAAGUUGGGAGGAAGGGCAGUAAGUUAAUACCUUGCUGUUUUGACGUUACCGACAGAAUAAGCACCGGCUAACUUCGUGCCAGCAGCCGCGGUAAUACGAAGGGUGCAAGCGUUAAUCGGAAUUACUGGGCGUAAAGCGCGCGUAGGUGGUUUUGUAAGUUGGAGGUGAAAUCCCCGGGCUUAACCUGGGAACUGCCUCCAAAACUGCAUGACUAGAGUACGGUAGAGGGUAGUGGAAUUUCCUGUGUAGCGGUGAAAUGCGUAGAUAUAGGAAGGAACACCAGUGGCGAAGGCGACUACCUGGACUGAUACUGACACUGAGGUGCGAAAGCGUGGGGAGCAAACAGGAUUAGAAACCCUGGUAGUCC